GACGAACGCUGGCGGCGUGCUUAACACAUGCAAGUCGAACGGUGAAGGGAUCAGCUUGCUGGUUCUGGAUGAGUGGCGAACGGGUGAGUAACACGUGAGUAACCUGCCCCCUUCUUCUGGAUAACCGCAUGAAAGUGUGGCUAAUACGGGAUAUUCUGCGCCUGCUGCAUGGUGGGUGUGGGAAAGAUAUUGUUUCGGUGGGGGAUGGGCUCGCGGCCUAUCAGCUUGUUGGUGGGGUGAUGGCCUACCAAGGCGGUGACGGGUAGCCGGCCUGGGAGGGUGGUCGGUCACACGGGGACUGAGACACGGCCCAGACUCCUACGGGAGGCAGCAGUGGGGAAUAUUGCACAGUGGGCGCAAGCCUGAUGCAGCGACGCCGCGUGAGGGAUGGAGGCCUUCGGGUUGUGAACCUCUUUCGCCAGUGAAGCAGGCCUGUCCCUUGUGGGUGGGUUGACGGUAGCUGGAGAAGAAGCGCCGGCUAACUACGUG
RNAcentral lists this ribosomal RNA (489 nucleotides) under uncultured bacterium. Its description in RNAcentral is "partial 16S ribosomal RNA". It matches the Rfam family "Bacterial small subunit ribosomal RNA", at positions 28 to 507 of the family's 1533-position model. The record is from RNAcentral.